This 715-nucleotide ribosomal RNA is filed under the name Arthrobacter sp. Its description in RNAcentral is "bacterial SSU rRNA". It matches the Rfam family "Bacterial small subunit ribosomal RNA", at positions 80 to 808 of the family's 1533-position model. The record is from RNAcentral. Lineage: Bacteria; Bacillati; Actinomycetota; Actinomycetes; Micrococcales; Micrococcaceae.
CAUGCUGGUGGAUUAGUGGCGAACGGGUGAGUAACACGUGAGUAACCUGCCCUUGACUCUGGGAUAAGCCUGGGAAACUGGGUCUAAUACCGGAUAUGACCUUCCAUCGCAUGGUGGUUGGUGGAAAGCUUUUGUGGUUUUGGAUGGACUCGCGGCCUAUCAGCUUGUUGGUGGGGUAAUGGCCUACCAAGGCGACGACGGGUAGCCGGCCUGAGAGGGUGACCGGCCACACUGGGACUGAGACACGGCCCAGACUCCUACGGGAGGCAGCAGUGGGGAAUAUUGCACAAUGGGCGCAAGCCUGAUGCAGCGACGCCGCGUGAGGGAUGACGGCCUUCGGGUUGUAAACCUCUUUCAGUAGGGAAGAAGCGUAAGUGACGGUACCUGCAGAAGAAGCGCCGGCUAACUACGUGCCAGCAGCCGCGGUAAUACGUAGGGCGCAAGCGUUAUCCGGAAUUAUUGGGCGUAAAGAGCUCGUAGGCGGUUUGUCGCGUCUGCCGUGAAAGUCCGGGGCUCAACUCCGGAUCUGCGGUGGGUACGGGCAGACUAGAGUGAUGUAGGGGAGACUGGAAUUCCUGGUGUAGCGGUGAAAUGCGCAGAUAUCAGGAGGAACACCGAUGGCGAAGGCAGGUCUCUGGGCAUUAACUGACGCUGAGGAGCGAAAGCAUGGGGAGCGAACAGGAUUAGAUACCCUGGGUAGUCCAUGCCGUAAACC